GGUUAAGCGACUAAGCGUACACGGUGGAUGCCCUGGCAGUCAGAGGCGAUGAAGGACGUGCUAAUCUGCGAUAAGCGUCGGUAAGGUGAUAUGAACCGUUAUAACCGGCGAUUUCCGAAUGGGGAAACCCAGUGUGUUUCGACACACUAUCAUUAACUGAAUCCAUAGGUUAAUGAGGCGAACCGGGGGAACUGAAACAUCUAAGUACCCCGAGGAAAAGAAAUCAACCGAGAUUCCCCCAGUAGCGGCGAGCGAACGGGGAGCAGCCCAGAGCCUGAAUCAGUGUGUGUGUUAGUGGAAGCGUCUGGAAAGGCGCGCGAUACAGGGUGACAGCCCCGUACACAAAAAUGCACAUACUGUGAGCUCGAUGAGUAGGGCGGGACACGUGGUAUCCUGUCUGAAUAUGGGGGACCAUCCUCCAAGGCUAAAUACUCCUGACUGACCGAUAGUGAACCAGUACCGUGAGGGAAAGGCGAAAAGAACCCCGGCGAGGGGAGUGAAAAAGAACCUGAAACCGUGUACGUACAAGCAGUGGGAGCACGCUUCGGCGUGUGACUGCGUACCUUUUGUAUAAUGGGUCAGCGACUUAUAUUCUGUAGCAAGGUUAACCGAAUAGGGGAGCCGAAGGGAAACCGAGUCUUAACUGGGCGUUAAGUUGCAGGGUAUAGACCCGAAACCCGGUGAUCUAGCCAUGGGCAGGUUGAAGGUUGGGUAACACUAACUGGAGGACCGAACCGACUAAUGUUGAAAAAUUAGCGGAUGACUUGUGGCUGGGGGUGAAAGGCCAAUCAAACCGGGAGAUAGCUGGUUCUCCCCGAAAGCUAUUUAGGUAGCGCCUCGUGAAUUCAUCUCCGGGGGUAGAGCACUGUUUCGGCAAGGGGUCAUCCCGACUUACCAACCCGAUGCAAACUGCGAAUACCGGAGAAUGUUAUCACGGGAGACACACGGCGGGUGCUAACGUCCGUCGUGAAGAGGGAAACAACCCAGACCGCCAGCUAAGGUCCCAAAGUCAUGGUUAAGUGGGAAACGAUGUGGGAAGGCCCAGACAGCCAGGAUGUUGGCUUAGAAGCAGCCAUCAUUUAAAGAAAGCGUAAUAGCUCACUGGUCGAGUCGGCCUGCGCGGAAGAUGUAACGGGGCUAAACCAUGCACCGAAGCUGCGGCAGCGACACUAUGUGUUGUUGGGUAGGGGAGCGUUCUGUAAGCCUGUGAAGGUGUACUGUGAGGUAUGCUGGAGGUAUCAGAAGUGCGAAUGCUGACAUAAGUAACGAUAAAGCGGGUGAAAAGCCCGCUCGCCGGAAGACCAAGGGUUCCUGUCCAACGUUAAUCGGGGCAGGGUGAGUCGCCCCCUAAGGCGAGGCCGAAAGGCGUAGUCGAUGGGAAACAGGUUAAUAUUCCUGUACUUGGUGUUACUGCGAAGGGGGGACGGAGAAGGCUAUGUUGGCCGGGCGACGGUUGUCCCGGUUUAAGCGUGUAGGCUGGUUUUCCAGGCAAAUCCGGAAAAUCAAGGCUGAGGCGUGAUGACGAGGCACUACGGUGCUGAAGCAACAAAUGCCCUGCUUCCAGGAAAAGCCUCUAAGCAUCAGGUAACAUUAAAUCGUACCCCAAACCGACACAGGUGGUCAGGUAGAGAAUACCAAGGCGCUUGAGAGAACUCGGGUGAAGGAACUAGGCAAAAUGGUGCCGUAACUUCGGGAGAAGGCACGCUGAUAUGUAGGUGAAGUCCCUCGCGGAUGGAGCUGAAAUCAGUCGAAGAUACCAGCUGGCUGCAACUGUUUAUUAAAAACACAGCACUGUGCAAACACGAAAGUGGACGUAUACGGUGUGACGCCUGCCCGGUGCCGGAAGGUUAAUUGAUGGGGUUAGCGGUAACGCGAAGCUCUUGAUCGAAGCCCCGGUAAACGGCGGCCGUAACUAUAACGGUCCUAAGGUAGCGAAAUUCCUUGUCGGGUAAGUUCCGACCUGCACGAAUGGCGUAAUGAUGGCCAGGCUGUCUCCACCCGAGACUCAGUGAAAUUGAACUCGCUGUGAAGAUGCAGUGUACCCGCGGCAAGACGGAAAGACCCCGUGAACCUUUACUAUAGCUUGACACUGAACAUUGAGCCUUGAUGUGUAGGAUAGGUGGGAGGCUUUGAAGUGUGGACGCCAGUCUGCAUGGAGCCGACCUUGAAAUACCACCCUUUAAUGUUUGAUGUUCUAACGUUGACCCGUGAUCCGGGUUGCGGACAGUGUCUGGUGGGUAGUUUGACUGGGGCGGUCUCCUCCUAAAGAGUAACGGAGGAGCACGAAGGUUGGCUAAUCCUGGUCGGACAUCAGGAGGUUAGUGCAAUGGCAUAAGCCAGCUUGACUGCGAGCGUGACGGCGCGAGCAGGUGCGAAAGCAGGUCAUAGUGAUCCGGUGGUUCUGAAUGGAAGGGCCAUCGCUCAACGGAUAAAAGGUACUCCGGGGAUAACAGGCUGAUACCGCCCAAGAGUUCAUAUCGACGGCGGUGUUUGGCACCUCGAUGUCGGCUCAUCACAUCCUGGGGCUGAAGUAGGUCCCAAGGGUAUGGCUGUUCGCCAUUUAAAGUGGUACGCGAGCUGGGUUUAGAACGUCGUGAGACAGUUCGGUCCCUAUCUGCCGUGGGCGCUGGAGAACUGAGGGGGCUGCUCCUAGUACGAGAGGACCGGAGUGGACGCAUCACUGGUGUUCGGGUUGUCAUGCCAAUGGCACUGCCCGGUAGCUAAAUGCGGAAGAGAUAAGUGCUGAAAGCAUCUAAGCACGAAACUUGCCCCGAGAUGAGUUCUCCCUGACUCCUUGAGAGUCCUGAAGGAACGUUGAAGACGACGACGUUGAUAGGCCGGGUGUGUAAGCGCAGCGAUGCGUUGAGCUAACCGGUACUAAUGAACCGUGAGGCUUAACCUU
RNAcentral lists this ribosomal RNA (2902 nucleotides) under Escherichia coli O145:H28. Its description in RNAcentral is "23S ribosomal RNA". It matches the Rfam family "Bacterial large subunit ribosomal RNA". The record is from RNAcentral. Lineage: Bacteria; Pseudomonadati; Pseudomonadota; Gammaproteobacteria; Enterobacterales; Enterobacteriaceae.